Long non-coding RNA from Anolis carolinensis (green anole), 726 nucleotides. RefSeq lists it as uncharacterized. Lineage: Eukaryota; Metazoa; Chordata; Lepidosauria; Squamata; Anolidae. The record is from RefSeq and is a predicted model, not a curated record. The transcript has 2 exons.
UUCCGGCAGCGCACCCGGAAGCCACGAUCUUUCGCCGAGAGACAUGUGGCUGUUCUGGUCACUUCCGGGUAGUACUCUAUGAUCAUCGAGCGGCGAAGCAUCAAUAGCCGAACGGGACGGAAGGGGGCGAUUGUUGGUUUUGAAAUAGCGUGGUAUUUAGGAAAACGUGGUGCAGCUAAAUACCCUAAAGCAGGCAUGGGCAAAUUUGGGCCUUCCAGGUGUUUUCGACUUCAAUUCCCAGAAUUCCUAACAGCUUCAGGUCCUUUCCUUUUCCCCCUCAGCCGCUUAAGCUGUUAGGAAUCCUGGGAACUGAAGUCGAAAACACCUGGAGGGCCCAAGUUUGCCCAUGCCUGCCCUAAAGGCACCAGAUCGCAUCUGAUCUUGGAAGGAGUAUUGCAAGAUCUCCCAGAGGGUUGAGGUUUCAACAAUAGCCCAGCCUCCCUGUCUAUUGGCCAUCAUAGCUGGGACUGUUGGAACUUACAAUCCAGAAACAUUCUAUGUUUUAUGAAUUCAAGUUGCAAAAAAUAUAUCAUCAACUAAAUAGUGGGAAAGGUAUAUGCUCCUGUGUUUCUGCUGUUCCUUUCCUCCUAGUAAAGAGUUUUUUCCUAUGCAAGUGGAAAUUGCUGCAUAUAAUGUUGAUCAGAGGAAAUGUUGUGCAUGAAAAGGAUUGUUUGUAUGUGUAUUUAAUUUAUUGAUUAAAUAAAUUUAUUCUAGUUUGACUCUGCA